AGAGUUUGAUCAUGGCUCAGAUUGAACGCUGGCGGCAUGCCUUACACAUGCAAGUCGAACGGCAGCACGGGGGCAACCCUGGUGGCGAGUGGCGAACGGGUGAGUAAUACAUCGGAACGUGCCCAGUAGUGGGGGAUAGCUCGGCGAAAGCCGGAUUAAUNNCGCAUACGCCUACGGGUGAAAGCGGGGCCGCAAGCCUCGCGCUGUUGGAGCGGCCGAUGUCAGAUUAGGUUGUUGGUGGGGUAAAGGCUCACCAAGCCGACGAUCUGUAGCUGGUCUGAGAGGACGCCAGCCACACUGGGACUGAGACACGGCCCAGACUCCUACGGGAGGCAGCAGUGGGGAAUUUUGGACAAUGGGGGCAACCCUGAUCCAGCAUGCCGCGUGCGGGAAGAAGGCCUUCGGGUUGUAAACCGCUUUUGUCGGGGAAGAAAUCUUCCGGGUUAAUACCUCGGGAGGAUGACGGUACCCGAAGAAUAAGCACCGGCUAACUACGUGCCAGCAGCCGCGGUAAUACGUAGGGUGCAAGCGUUAAUCGGAAUUACUGGGCGUAAAGCGUGCGCAGGCGGUUAUGCAAGACAGAUGUGAAAUCCCCGGGCUUAACCUGGGAACCGCAUUUGUGACUGCAUAGCUGGAGUACGGCAGAGGGGGAUGGAAUUCCGCGUAGCAGUGAAAUGCGUAGAUAUGCGGAGGAACACCGAUGGCGAAGGCAGNNCCCUGGGCCUGUACUGACGCUCAUGCACGAAAGCGUGGGGAGCAAACAGGAUUAGAUACCCUAGUAGUCC
This 785-nucleotide ribosomal RNA is filed under the name uncultured bacterium. RNAcentral describes it as "bacterial SSU rRNA". It matches the Rfam family "Bacterial small subunit ribosomal RNA", at positions 8 to 796 of the family's 1533-position model. The record is from RNAcentral.